Molecule: ribosomal RNA, 548 nt
Filed under: uncultured bacterium
Lineage: Bacteria
Description: partial 16S ribosomal RNA
Rfam family: Bacterial small subunit ribosomal RNA
Source: RNAcentral
UGGGGAAUAUUGCACAAUGGGCGAAAGCCUGAUGCAGCGACGCCGCGUGAGGGAUGACGGCCUUCGGGUUGUAAAACCUCUUUCAGCAGGGAAGAAGCGAAAGUACGGUACCUGCAGAAGAAGCGCCGGCUAACUACGUGCCAGCAGCCGCGGUAAUACGUAGGGCGCAAGCGUUGUCCGGAAUUAUUGGGCGUAAAGAGCUCGUAGGCGGUUAGUCGCGUCUGCUGUGAAAACUCGAGGCUCAACCUCGGGCUUGCAGUGGGUACGGGCUGACUAGAUGCGGUAGGGGUGACUGGAAUUCCUGGUGUAGCGGUGGAAUGCGCAGAUAUCAGGAGGAACACCGAUGGCGAAGGCAGGUCACUGGGCCGCAACUGACGCUGAGGAGCGAAAGCAUGGGGAGCGAACAGGAUUAGAUAGCCCUGGUAGUCCAUGCCGUAAACGUUGGGCACUAGGUGUGGGGUCCAUUCCGCGGAUUCCGUGCCGCAGCAAACGCAUUAAGUGCCCCCGCCUGGGGAGUACGGCCGCAAGGCUAAAACUCAAAUGAAUUG